Molecule: ribosomal RNA, 465 nt
Filed under: uncultured bacterium
Lineage: Bacteria
Description: partial 16S ribosomal RNA
Rfam family: Bacterial small subunit ribosomal RNA
Source: RNAcentral
GACGAACGCUGGCGGCGUGCUUAACACAUGCAAGUCGUACGGUAAGGCCCUUUCGGGGGUACACGAGUGGCGAACGGGUGAGUAACACGUGAGUAACCUGCCCACAACUUUGGGAUAACGCUAGGAAACUGGUGCUAAUACUGGAUAUGUGCUCCUGCUGCAUGGUGGGGGUUGGAAAGCUCCGGCGGUUGUGGAUGGACUCGCGGCCUAUCAGCUUGUUGGUGGGGUAGUGGCCUACCAAGGCGGCGACGGGUAGCCGGCCUGAGAGGGUGACCGGCCACAUUGGGACUGAGAUACGGCCCAGACGCCUACGGGAGGCAGCAGUGGGGAAUAUUGCACAAGGGGCGCAAGCCUGAUGCAGCAACGCCGCGUGCGGGAUGACGGCCUUCGGGUUGUAAACCGCUUUCAGCAGGGACGAAGCUUUUUGUGACGGUACCUGCAGAAGAAGCACCGGCUAACUACGUG